GACGAACGCUGGCGGCGUGCCUAAUACAUGCAAGUAGAACGCUGAAGAGAGGAGCUUGCUCUUCUUGGAUGAGUUGCGAACGGGUGAGUAACGCGUAGGUAACCUGCCUUGUAGCGGGGGAUAACUAUUGGAAACGAUAGCUAAUACCGCAUAACAAUGGAUGACACAUGUCAUUUAUUUGAAAGGGGCAAUUGCUCCACUACAAGAUGGACCUGCGUUGUAUUAGCUAGUAGGUGAGGUAAUGGCUCACCUAGGCGACGAUACAUAGCCGACCUGAGAGGGGGAACGGCCACACUGGGACUGGGACACGGCCCAGACUCCUACGGGAGGCAGCAGUAGGGAAUCUUCGGCAAUGGGGGCAACCCUGACCGAGCAACGCCGCGUGAGUGAAGAAGGUUUUCGGAUCGUAAAGCUCUGUUGUAAGUCAAGAACGGGUGUGAGAGUGGAAAGUUCACACUGUGACGGUAGCUUACCAGAAAGGGACGGCUAACUACGUG
Molecule: ribosomal RNA, 497 nt
Filed under: uncultured bacterium
Lineage: Bacteria
Description: partial 16S ribosomal RNA
Rfam family: Bacterial small subunit ribosomal RNA
Source: RNAcentral